AGAGUUUGAUCCUGGCUCAGAUUGAACGCUGGCGGCAUGCCUUACACAUGCAAGUCGAACGGCAGCGCGGACUUCGGUCUGGCGGCGAGUGGCGAACGGGUGAGUAAUGCAUCGGAACGUACCUUUCAGUGGGGGAUAACGUAGCGAAAGUUACGCUAAUACCGCAUAUUCUGUGAGCAGGAAAGCAGGGGAUCGCAAGACCUUGCGCUGAUGGAGCGGCCGAUGUCAGAUUAGCUAGUUGGUGGGGUAAAGGCUCACCAAGGCGACGAUCUGUAGCGGGUCUUAGAGGAUGAUCCGCCACACUGGAACUGAGACACGGUCCAGACUCCUACGGGAGGCAGCAGUGGGGAAUUUUGGACAAUGGGCGCAAGCCUGAUCCAGCCAUGCCGCGUGAGUGAAGAAGGCCUUCGGGUUGUAAAGCUCUUUCGGCCGGGAAAAAAUCGCUUGGGUUAAUACCCUGAGUGGAUGAUGGUACCGGAAUAAGAAGCACCGGCUAACUACGUGCCAGCAGCCGCGGUAAUACGUAGGGUGCGAGCGUUAAUCGGAAUUACUGGGCGUAAAGCGUGCGCAGGCGGUUUUGUAAGACAGGCGUGAAAUCCCCGGGCUCAACCUGGGAACUGCGUUUGUGACUGCAAGGCUAGAGUAUGGCAGAGGGGGGUGGAAUUCCACGUGUAGCAGUGAAAUGCGUAGAGAUGUGGAGGAACACCAAUGGCGAAGGCAGCCCCCUGGGCCAAUACUGACGCUCAUGCACGAAAGCGUGGGGAGCAAACAGGAUUAGAUACCCUGGUAGUCCACGCCCUAAACGAUGUCAACUAGGUGUUGGGUGGGUAAAACCAUUUGGUACCGUAGCUAACGCGUGAAGUUGACCGCCUGGGGAGUACGGCCGCAAGGUUAAAACUCAAAGGAAUUGACGG
This 914-nucleotide ribosomal RNA is filed under the name uncultured bacterium. RNAcentral's name for it is "bacterial SSU rRNA". It matches the Rfam family "Bacterial small subunit ribosomal RNA", at positions 8 to 916 of the family's 1533-position model. The record is from RNAcentral.